This 419-nucleotide ribosomal RNA is filed under the name bacterium. Its description in RNAcentral is "partial 16S ribosomal RNA". It matches the Rfam family "Bacterial small subunit ribosomal RNA", at positions 355 to 776 of the family's 1533-position model. The record is from RNAcentral.
UGGGGGAUAUUGCACAAUGGGCGAAAGCCUGAUGCAGCGACGCCGCGUGGGGGAUGAAGGCCUUCGGGUUGUAAACUUCUUUUGCUCUGAACAAGGCGCACCAUGGGGUGUGUUGAGUGUAGGGGUUGAUUAGCGCCGGCUAACUACGUGCCAGCAGCCGCGGUAAUACGUAGGGCGCGAGCGUUGUCCGGAAUUAUUGGGCGUAAAGGGCUUGUAGGUGGCUGGUUGCGUCUGUCGUGAAGGCUCAUGGCUUAACUGUGGGUUUGCGGUGGGUACGGGCUGGCUUGAGUGCAGUAGGGGAGGCUGGAAUUCCUGGUGUAGCGGUGGAAUGCGCAGAUAUCAGGAGGAAUACCGGUGGCGAAGGCGGGUCUCUGGGCUGUUACUGACACUGAGGAGCGAAAGCAUGGGGAGCGAACAGG